CCGUUGGUGAACCAGCGGAGGGAUCAUUACCGAGUUUACAACUCCCAAACCCAAUGUGAACGUUACCAAACUGUUGCCUCGGCGGGAUCUCUGCCCCGGGUGCGUCGCAGCCCCGGACCAAGGCGCCCGCCGGAGGACCAACCAAAACUCUUAUUGUAUACCCCCUCGCGGGUUUUUUUUAUAAUCUGAGCCUUCUCGGCGCCUCUCGUAGGCGUUUCGAAAAUGAAUCAAAACUUUCAACAACGGAUCUCUUGGUUCUGGCAUCGAUGAAGAACGCAGCGAAAUGCGAUAAGUAAUGUGAAUUGCAGAAUUCAGUGAAUCAUCGAAUCUUUGAACGCACAUUGCGCCCGCCAGUAUUCUGGCGGGCAUGCCUGUCCGAGCGUCAUUUCAACCCUCGAACCCCUCCGGGGGGUCGGCGUUGGGGAUCGGCCCUGCCUUGGCGGUGGCCGUCUCCGAAAUACAGUGGCGGUCUCGCCGCAGCCUCUCCUGCGCAGUAGUUUGCACACUCGCAUCGGGAGCGCGGCGCGUCCACAGCCGUUAAACACCCAACUUCUGAAAUGUUGACCUCGGAUCAGGUAGGAAUACCCGCUGAACUUAAGCAUAUCAA
Molecule: ribosomal RNA, 607 nt
Filed under: Trichoderma harzianum
Lineage: Eukaryota; Fungi; Ascomycota; Sordariomycetes; Hypocreales; Hypocreaceae
Description: eukaryotic LSU rRNA
Rfam family: 5.8S ribosomal RNA (bases 232-385)
Source: RNAcentral